GAUGAACGCUGGCGGCGUGCCUAAUACAUGCAAGUCGAGCGAACAGACGAGGAGCUUGCUCCUUCGACGUUAGCGGCGGACGGGUGAGUAACACGUAGGUAACCUACCUAUAAGACUGGGAUAACUUCGGGAAACCGGAGCUAAUACCGGAUAAUAUUUCGAACCGCAUGGUUCGAUAGUGAAAGAUGGCUUUGCUAUCACUUAUAGAUGGACCUGCGCCGUAUUAGCUAGUUGGUAAGGAAACGGCUUACCAAGGCAACGAUACGUAGCCGACCUGAGAGGGUGAUCGGCCACACUGGAACUGAGACACGGUCCAGACUCCUACGGAGGCAGCAGUAGGGAAUCUUCCGCAAUGGGCGAAAGCCUGACGGAGCAACGCCGCGUGAGUGAUGAAGGUCUUCGGAUCGUAAAACUCCGUUAUUAGGGAAGAACAAACGUGUAAGUAACUGUGCACGUCUUGACGGUACCUAAUCAGAAAGCCACGGCUAACUACGUG
This 496-nucleotide ribosomal RNA is filed under the name uncultured bacterium. RNAcentral's name for it is "partial 16S ribosomal RNA". It matches the Rfam family "Bacterial small subunit ribosomal RNA", at positions 28 to 507 of the family's 1533-position model. The record is from RNAcentral.